GUUUGCCUACGGGACGCAGCAGUGAGGAAUAUUGGUCAAUGGGCGCGAGCCUGAACCAGCCACGUCGCGUGAGGGAAGACGGUCCUAUGGAUUGUAAACCUCUUUUGUCGGGGAGCAAAAGACGCCACGCGUGGCGUUCCGAGAGUACCCGAAGAAAAAGCAUCGGCUAACUCCGUGCCAGCAGCCGCGGUAAUACGGAGGAUGCGAGCGUUAUCCGGAUUUAUUGGGUUUAAGGGUGCGCAGGCGGAAGAUCAAGUCAGCGGUAACAUUGAGAGGCUCAACCUCCUCGAGCCGUUGAAACUGGU
This 305-nucleotide ribosomal RNA is filed under the name uncultured bacterium. RNAcentral's name for it is "bacterial SSU rRNA". It matches the Rfam family "Bacterial small subunit ribosomal RNA", at positions 333 to 637 of the family's 1533-position model. The record is from RNAcentral.